AACUUUCCUAGCCCGGAUGUCUAACUCGAAUCAACGCUUGAUGUGAUGGGCGUUAUUUGUUCAGGAGUAUAAUCUUGACAUUCUUCAUAUGAAGGACUCUGAAAAUGUGAUUGCCAAUGCGCUGUCCAGGACCGGUGGUACUGAAAUCUAAGUGAUAUAUAUAUAUAUAGAUUUCUUUUUUUCCAAGUCGAGGGAUAAAAGAAAAAACUUAGUGGUGGGGGUGUUACGUCCAUAGGGACAUAAGUUAUUCUGUCUUUUGAUUUCAUUAACCAUUGGGUUUACUGUGUGUAUGUGUAUGUAGACUGUGAUCUUGUUUCUUUUACUCCUCCUUCUCUCUCUGCUUGGCAGGCUAAUGAGUGUCACCUGACUCCUGUUUAGCUCGUUAGUUGGAGUAUAAAGGAGAGCUAACAGAAGAGCUGCAGUCCAGGGUGAGAGGCUGAGGCCUUCCAUCCUUGCAACUUCCAUCUUCCAGUUCCAGUGUUGUGAUUUAAGCUCUUGUUUAAACUCUUGUCUACUUAAGUGUUUGUUGAUUGCUUCACCUAUAGUGUUAAAGUGAAGUUAUUGAGAGUAGCAGAGUGGAUGUCAUUUAUUUUAGAAAUUACCCGUUGUCUCCUGUGUUUGAGUUAGAGAGGAAGUCAGGGAAGUAUCUCUGUGCUUUUUAUUUUUCUUGUUUGGUAGGUAAGAUAAUACUGAAAACCUUAGUCAGAGGAAACUUUUUGUUUAUUGUUUUGGCCUUUCCCUUCCUGAAGCCUUAUAUAUUUUUCCAUUCUGUUAAAUAAAAUUCCUCUGGUUGUUUGCUCAAA
Carassius carassius (crucian carp) is the source of this 803-nucleotide long non-coding RNA. RefSeq lists it as uncharacterized. The record is from RefSeq and is a predicted model, not a curated record. NCBI's taxonomy places the organism in Eukaryota, Metazoa, Chordata, Actinopteri, Cypriniformes, Cyprinidae. The transcript is spliced from 2 exons.